This 842-nucleotide ribosomal RNA is filed under the name uncultured Acidobacterium sp. Its description in RNAcentral is "bacterial SSU rRNA". It matches the Rfam family "Bacterial small subunit ribosomal RNA", at positions 621 to 1457 of the family's 1533-position model. Lineage: Bacteria; Pseudomonadati; Acidobacteriota; Terriglobia; Terriglobales; Acidobacteriaceae. The record is from RNAcentral.
UUGCAUCUGAAACUGCUUUGCUUGAGUCCUGGAGGGGGUAGUGGAAUUCCCAGUGUAGCGGUGAAAUGCGUAGAUAUUGGGAGGAACACCAGCGGCGAAGGCGGCUACCUGGACAGUGACUGACGCUGAGGCGCGAAAGCUAGGGGAGCAAACGGGAUUAGAUACCCCGGUAGUCCUAGCCGUAAACUAUGGGCACUUGGUGUCGGGGGUAUUGAGUCCCCCGGUGCCGUAGUUCACAUGGUAAGUGCCCCGCCUGGGGAGUACGGUCGCAAGACUGAAACUCAAAGGAAUUGACGGGGGCCCGCACAAGCGGUGGAGCAUGUGGUUCAAUUCGACGCAACGCGCAGAACCUUACCGGGGCUCGAACGGUAGUCGCUACUCCUGGGAAACGGGUGGUGCCGGGCAACCGGAGCUCCAAGACAGGUGCUGCAUGGCUGUCGUCAGCUCGUGUCGUGAGAUGUUGGGUUAAGUCCCGCAACGAGCGCAACCCUUGUCUCUAGUUGCCAGCAUUCAGUUGGGCACUUUAGAGAGACUGCCGGUGAUAAACCGGAGGAAGGUGGGGACGACGUCAAGUCCUCAUGGCCUUUAUGCCCAGGGCUACACACGUGCUACAAUGGGCGGUACAGAGGGCUGCAAACCCGCGAGGGGGAGCCAAUCCCAAAAAGCCGUCCCCAGUUCGGAUUGGAGUCUGCAACUCGACUCCAUGAAGGUGGAAUCGCUAGUAAUCGCGGAUCAGCAUGCCGCGGUGAUACGUUCCCGGGCCUUGUACACACCGCCCGUCACACCACGAAAGCUGAUGGUACCAGAAGUCGCUGGCCUAACCCUCCGGGGGAGGAGGCGCC